GAGUAUGUGGUAAAUUUUAGGGAUCAUGCUGUUAAAAUCAAAAGAUGUUUCUUUAUCAAGGUAUAACAGCUAGUUUGAUGUAUGCAUUUGUCUCUCUAUACAAUAAGAAGGUAAAAACAUCACUGUUUUACAACGUUUUCUUUUGUUCCUUUGAGGCUUUAACCAGGAUUCAAGGGCCAUACAUUGCUUGCACGCAAGUCCUAAGAAUAUUAAUUAAGAUGUUAACCUUUUUCUUAAUCAUAUAGUACUAUAUAUCAAUGACCAUUUUAGUCUUAGAAUAUGAAUUAUGGAUGAUGAUCAAACACAGUAUUUAAUUGAUUACUUCAAUUCAGUUUUAUGUUGAAGAACAUAAAAAUAAAUUAACAUGAAUUAAUUAAAAAUGUUGUGUUGACUUUGAUAUUCAGCACCGCUAGCUAUUGUGAAAUUGAAAGAUUCACAUAACCUUUCACAUCAAGUGACUAGAAGAAAUAGUGUUAAGGUUUAGUUAAUAUAACUUUUGAUUCUUUAUACCGUCCCUGUCUUUGUCUCUCCAUAAUUCCUGCUAUAGAAUAUUCACAAUGCUCCUUCUAUAAAUCAAGUUUUCUAUAUGUUCUCUUAACUAGUUCUCAUUUUUAUUUUAAACGACCAAUGUUAGUGGUUAGUAAUUAGUAUUGUUAGUUUUUGUUGUAGGUUUUAACUAGCUGUAAUCUUAUUGUAGUCAUUGUUAAACAUCAUCUCUAGUAGUUCGGAUUUGAACUAUGUUUGGCAAAACUGUGGGAGAUUAGUGCUUCACUAGACUCGACUCAUGUUAGUCUAUUGUAACUUGACUAAUUUAUUAUAUUAUUAUCCCACAUGUAAGCGAACUAAGUGUCACAUAAUAGGGACUAAUUUGCCUGUUUUUUUAAAUCAACCGAAUUAUUCUUGUUCGCUCGAAAGAGUCUAAUGACAAAUUUCAGACACCGAAAAAUGAAAUUACUAUAGUAACCGAAAUGACCCCUCAUGUAUUCAUGACUCAAAAGUCUCCCAUGGAAUGCAAGGAUAGCUUGAUAUAUUUUGGAAGUUUGGAACAAAUGAAAAGCCAUUUGAUCAUUUUUCAUUUUCUUGUCUUUAAUCAAGUCUCUGUUAUUAGUCAAAUUGCCAUAUGGGUUCCUGCAUAUAUACUGUAUUUUUGUUGUCUCUUGCAGCAGUUUACAUGCUACUUACUACUACGCCUAAAAGGAGCAUUAUUGAUGAUUUAUUAGGCGUGUAGUUAAUUCCAGUUAUACGCAGCUAUACCCAUUAAAGCAUUAAGCUUUGCCUGUGAAUCUGAGACUUGUGUCAGAGGGGCGACAAAGAUUCAUAUGUCACUAGUUUUCUUCCAUGUGUCAUUCUCGAAUAUAGUACUAUAUAUGUGAAGUUCACUCACUCACUCACUCUGUUGUCCUUUUUCUUUUUAAGUACUGGGAGCAUUUAUAAUCAUCAUUCUUAAUGUUCACAUAACUUUCAAGUUUCCAUGCCUAACUUCUGUUUGAUUCCGUGGCACCAUUUCCAUAUUUUUUCAAAAUUAUGGUCACAUUUCCGCAUUAAUGUAGAAGCUGCAUUUUAUAACUUCUUGAAAUCACAGCAACUUUACAUUGAUAUCUCCACAGGUGCGCGUCUCGUGCAAGCAAAUGUGCCACUAAAGGAUGAUGUUUUAAUCAAAAUCCAGCCUAGCUUCGCCUCCAAUUCUAGGUAAACAAUUUUUGCUCAACAUAUCAUCUUUUGAUAGUAACACCAGUUAAGUCAUAUUUUACGAGUAGAAAUUCAUUACCAGUAUAAUUUUGGUAUAUAAUAACUAGAAAUGUUACAAAACUUAGAAAUGUGUGCUUCUGAGAAAUACUUGAUCCAUAUUUCACAACUUGGUAACUGUUUCUACUGAUAGCUCACUAAAAUUAACAGUUGUAAUGUAAAUAAUCUGUAUUGUUGAUGUAUAAAUGUCCACAAAUCAUCGUUGUAAGCUUGGAUUGGAAAUUUGGAACCGCUCAAUCUACUCUCAAACUGUAGUUAGUUUGGCUUUAGAUAGAAAACAAAUAUACUUUAAACGAGAAUUGGGUUAUAAAAUUUAUCUUACUUAUGAUUUAUGAUUGGAUGGUCGCUCUUCGUCCCCCUGAAUUGCUCCCACUAGAAAACACAUUACCGGAAUAUAUCUCCCGGUAGAUGGGAUAAACAUGGGGGAAUUAUGAUCAAUUUAGGAGACGAAGAGCAAUCAUCUAACAGCAAAAACACUCGAUAGAACUUUCUAACAGCAAAAACAAAAGAAACCAAUUUCAUCAUAAACCACAUAAAACACUUCCACAUAAUUCCUAAAUUAUUGUCCACAUAACAUAAAACACUUUCACAUCCCAGUAAUUGCUUGCAGUAUAAGGCAAAUGUAUAUGAAUGUGAAGUUGUAAUAAGAUUUAUUUUUUAUUUCCAUUAUUUCCCAAACAAAACAAUACAAGUGUACAUUAACAACAUGAAAAACAAAACUCAGAAAUAUAAUUUACCAAAAUCAAAAUCACUUGUCUUUAACUUCAACACCAGUUUUACCAGCAAUGAUAACAGAGGUAGCCAUAUUCAAGAACAAACCAUGCUCAACAACUCCUUCCAACGCCGAAAUCUCCGUUCCAGCAGCAUUAGCAUCUCGAAUCGGAGUCUUAAAAUACAAAUCAACAAUGUAAUUAGAAUUAUCAGUAACAUAGGGUUUUCCACUUUCAUCCAAUCUCAAUUUUGCAUCAACACCUUCUUCAUUGAACAAUUCUUGAAGCCUAAUCAAAUUAUAUUUCCAACAAAACUGAACAACCUCCACCGGCAUAGCCAAACCGCUUCCACCUAAACCGGUAACCAAUUUCGUGUCAUCGACGACCACGACGAACUUAUCGGAAGCAGCUUCCACCAUUUUCUCCCUUAAAAGAGCUCCGCCGCGACCUUUAACGAGAUUAAGAUAAGGAUCGACUUCAUCGGCGCCGUCGAUUGCGAGAUCGAGACGAGGAUUAUCGUCGAGAACAGAGAGAGGGAUUCCGAGUGAACGAGCUUGUUCUUCGGUUCGUUUUGAAGUUGGAACUCCGAUGAUGUUGGUGAGUUCGCCGGAGGAGAGAAGUUCGCCGAGUUUGGAAACAACGAAAGCGGCGGUGGAGCCGGUGCCGAGACCGAGGACCAUACCGGAUUUGACAUACUCGACGGCUUUAUCGGCGGCGAGUUUUUUGAGGUCGUCUUGAGUGAGGGUUAUGGCUCUGAUGGAAAGAGAAGAGUGACGGGUGCGUAGUUUAAGAGAGGUUGGGGUGCGUAGGUUAAGACGUGUGGAUGCAUUGUAGAAUGAUGAGGAUAGAGAUGGUGGUGAUGAUAGGGAUAGAGAUGCCAUUUUUUGAUUUGUUUUGUUGAUUUUUGAAUGUAAAGUGUGAUUUUGAAUUUGAACUAACACAAGACAGUUUUUGAGUUGGUAUAAGCCUAUCUUGUUUGUGUGUUUGGUUGGUGCUCACACUCAACAGUUUAGAUUUGAUCCAACCACACCGCAGGUUUUUUUUUGUACUACUUUUUAGUUAUGGUUCACUCCGGAGUUUUUUUAUAAGAGAUGAUUCAUCUUUUAAAUUCAUCGAAUACAUAUAGUAUAUAAUAUAAAUCAAUAUAUUCAAUGAAUUUAUAAUGAUGAUUUGUAUUUGCCUUUUAUCGAAGUAAUAUUAUUAUUUUUUAAAUGUAGGGGUUGAUAUCUCGCAACAAAUAUUUUUUAAUAGGGAUUGAUAGGAAAUGACUCAGGAAGGAAUAUUAUUUUUAGUUUCAUUGGAUUUUGGCGUUUUCCAACAACCCCCAACUUCUAAAGGAAGCUGAUUCACAGUUCAUUCACCCUCCCUUCUCAUGGAUGGAUGUGGAUUCAUUCACCUAAUUAUUUUAGACCUUUUUCUUCUUUUUUUGUUUAAAUUAAUUCUUAAAUAGGAAGUUGAAUUUAAUUAAAAAAAGUUGUAGUUAGUAAAUACCUUUUUUUUUGGAAUAAAAGUU
RNAcentral lists this long non-coding RNA (3969 nucleotides) under Trifolium pratense (red clover). Its description in RNAcentral is "long non-coding RNA (TPRA_LNC002822)". The record is from RNAcentral. Lineage: Eukaryota; Viridiplantae; Streptophyta; Magnoliopsida; Fabales; Fabaceae.